GACAGAGGGUGCAAACGUUGUUCGGAAUUACUGGGCGUAAAGCGUGUGUAGGCGGCUAUGUAAGUCGGAUGUGAAAGCCCCAGGCUCAACCUGGGAAGUGCACUCGAUACUGCGUAGCUUGAGUAUCGGAGAGGUUGGUGGAAUUCUCGGUGUAGAGGUGAAAUUCGUAGAUAUCGAGAGGAACACCGGUGGCGAAGGCGGCCAACUGGACGAAUACUGACGCUGAGACACGAAAGCGUGGGGAGCAAACAGG
Molecule: ribosomal RNA, 253 nt
Filed under: uncultured bacterium
Lineage: Bacteria
Also listed under: 1 other name
Description: partial 16S ribosomal RNA
Rfam family: Bacterial small subunit ribosomal RNA
Source: RNAcentral